AUUGAACGCUGGCGGCAUGCCUUACACAUGCAAGUCGAACGGCAGCACGGGAGCAAUCCUGGUGGCGAGUGGCGAACGGGUGAGUAAAGUAUCGGAACGUGCCCAGUCGUGGGGGAUAACGUAGCGAAAGUUACGCUAAUACCGCAUACGAUCUAUGGAUGAAAGCGGGGGAUCGCAAGACCUCGCGCGAUUGGAGCGGCCGAUAUCAGAUUAGGUAGUUAGUGGGGUAAAGGCUCACCAAGCCGACGAUCUGUAGCUGGUCUGAGAGGACGACCAGCCACACUGGGACUGAGACACGGCCCAGACUCCUACGGGAGGCAGCAGUGGGGAAUAUUUAGCAAUGGGCGAAAGCCUGACUAUGCGACGCCGCGUGAGGGAUGAAGGUUUUCGGAUCGUAAACCUUUUUUGUCAAGAAAGAACAUUUCAAACCUAACACGUUUGAGACUGACGGUACUUGACGAAUAAGCCACGGCCAACUCCGUGCCAGCAGCAGCCGCCG
This 499-nucleotide ribosomal RNA is filed under the name uncultured bacterium. RNAcentral describes it as "partial 16S ribosomal RNA". It matches the Rfam family "Bacterial small subunit ribosomal RNA", at positions 30 to 523 of the family's 1533-position model. The record is from RNAcentral.